GCCAAGGUGCCAGAGUGGUUAAUGGGCUGCCCUGCUAUUGUUCCUAGGAUGAUCGCUGUUCAGGCAGUGGCUUCGGUCGCGCAGGUUCGAAUCCUGUCCUUGACG
Non-coding RNA from Colletotrichum gloeosporioides, 105 nucleotides. Lineage: Eukaryota; Fungi; Ascomycota; Sordariomycetes; Glomerellales; Glomerellaceae. The record is from Rfam.